UUACUAUUCCUAAGAAACCUCAAGUUGUGCUCUUUCAAUCUUGGCCAUUUAUAUGUUUUCAAGGUUGCUUCCACGCUUUCUUUCUCUGGCUGACUGACCUCACUGUGUUCGUGGAAGAAGGAUUGGGUUAGGUGGAGAAGAGAGGAGGGUUUGAAGUUCAAUCAUGCAGCGUGAUGCGUCUCAAGCAACCUUCGUGACAGUGAAUAUCAUCACUUUGUCAGAUUUUUCGUCACCCUUGAUCUGUGGAGGAAGCAUGCCUUCUUUCGGAUUAGGUGAGAACCAUAAGGAGAUGAGAAGGUCAAGGAAGAUAUCAUCGUUGUACGGUGUUGCUGGUUAUGUCAGAUGACACGGGACGGGAUGGAACGGUGGAGCCAAUUACCUAUUGGUUGUAGAGUGAUAUAGUGAUUUCCUCUUCCCUUUAUACUUUUUCUUGGUUUAAAUCUGUUUUCUAUAUGAUCACAUGAAUGGUUAUUCCCUUAAUUUUCAUCUAAGAAUGAUUUAGAUCUAUUCAAGAUGGUCUUGAAGUCACAUUAAGUGAGAUGCAGGACAGAGUUAGUUCUUGGAAGAGGGAAGUGAUUUGGUUGUUACUGGAGAAUGAGAAAAGGUGUUGGUGAAGGUCCUGUUAAGGUUCUUGGAUUCGAGUUUUUUUGUUUGGUGGAGAUGGGGGUGUGAGUUCUGGUUUGAUGUGGAGAGGCUAUGGUGGUAGAGGUUGAGGGAAAUGGUGAAGGGUAUUGUGCUCUGUUUGUGCAGGGGAAUGAAAGGAAGAAGAUGAUGUUUUUCUAUGCUUGGUUCGUCCCAUUUGCUGAACCAGAUAUAUACCCUUUUAUGCUAUCUCUUCUCUCUUUUCUUCUCCAUAUUUCAAUGUGAGCUGAGAGUGCAUUGUGCAGUCCCUUUCAUUUUCCUCUUUGAUGAUUUUGUUUUAUUGUUUGGCACUAUUGCAACCCUUUCAUUUUUGUUUGAUACCCUAUUACCUCUUACUUGUCACUUUAUGAUUCUGGAAGCCACACCACCUACGUGACACUUCUUCUUUCAUUUUCUUAUUUUUUUGCUUGCUUAAAGGAAAAUACUACAUAGAGAAACUGUGCUUUGUAGAGCUCAUGGUAUUCAACAUAUUGUAAAACAUGUUCUCGACGAUUUAAUUUUUUACUAGACCCCUUCCACUACUCACUUUAUGCAUAUGUAACUUUUUGGAUGUGCUAUUUUGUGUCUUAAUUCUUACAAUAAGCCAGCACAUAAGAUUACUUCACUCUAACUAAUGUGAUUUCACUCACCAGUGUCACAAUUUGUUGAUCGAUUCUUUGAGCUUGUGUAGGAGGGAUCCAAAUGGUGAAACCAGUGUGUGGUACUUUUCCCUCUGUUUCAAAAGUGGACGUGGACAAAGCUUUAAGGAGCCAAAAGUCCUUAAUGGCAUGGACCUGCUUAGCAUCAAAAGAAUGCUUUUUCUAUAGGAACUGUAAUAUGUUUUAUGGUUGCAAAGAUGAGAUAGAUAUAUGAAAUGUUCUGAGAAUCACAAAAUGGAGAACUUGGUGGCUAAAAGGGCCUCGAACAUGUAUGCUUUCCUUCAAUAAUUGCAAGCAUUUGUUUCCACUAACCUUUAGUGGUCUUGUAUUUGUUACUAUGAUUGCAAUGAAGUUUCACUUUCUACCGGAAGUAUUUUUUUUGAAACUGUUGGCUAUUGCUCAUAACUAGGGUGAGGAGCUCCGCAAACAGAUUGGAGCUACCUAUUAUAUUGAAUACAACUCAAAAACUCAGCAGUUUAUAGGUUAAUGCAGUUUCCUUCCUCCUUUUUCCUCCUCAAAAGUACAUGGAAGUGGUACUAAAUGCAAUGGUGAAAUGAAAUAUACUUGAUCUACAUUGGCUAAACUAAGCUUAAUAUUGCAAGAGGUUAGCAUUGUAGGAUUCCAAUUCUUAUGUUUUAGUUUUAACAUUGAUCAAUGCUUUUAUAAGUUCAAAGUAAUGUAGAACUAUUAAAAUUGAGCAUUUGAAAGUCGGUAGCUAUAGCAAUCAAAAAGAGGUAUUGUUGUUGUACAGUUAUAUAGCUGACCUAUGCUCAUUAAAUUUCACAGCCUCUUCAUAUUGGUAUUGUUUUUAUCCUAAUAUUACCUCUCCUAUUUUUCUUUGUUUGAGUUAAUAUUUGUGUCUUAUUCUGUAACCAUUUCAGGCAGCUAACAGAAAUUUAACACCCUUCUAUUAAACAAUAAAAAGGAAAAAGAAAGUAAAGAGUUUUAAAUAUGUAACUAGACAACUGACUAAUGCCUUGGAUACUAAUUAAGAUCUAUAAAAGCAUGUAUAUUUAGAGUACUAUUGUCUUGAGGUAACCUCUAUGAUAGUAUGAUGUGUAAACUUUGCUUGACCAUGAUGUAGUUUAUGAAGAUUUAAGGCAACUGCUGUUGAUUUUUCUUGUAGUUAGUUAGGCACUGCUGUUGUUUUAGCAUCUCACUUAUUCAUUGUUAUCAAUGUAUCUUUGUCGCUUGCUGCAAAAACCUUCUAAGUGAAACUUGGGCCCCUAAAAUAGCAAACUAGAAAAGAACAUGAGAACAUGAGCAACAUAAGCAUUUAUCCUUUUUCAAGAGAAGGUGGAAAAGGAGGUCAGACUGUGAACAAAGUUGAAACUGCACUUCGAAUUACACACAACCAACUGGUGUCACUAUUCACUGAACAUGUCCAUGUCUCGAGUUGUUUCCUCUGGCAUCUGAAAUCUUUGUAUUUAGUCAGUCUUGAAGAACUCUAGAGGUAGCUACUAGAGUGAUGUGUUUAGUCUUUAACUUUGUAAUUGUCUUCGAUUUACUCGGAAGUUUCUCAUUAUUGAAAGUGUGCCUAAUUGCAUGUACUUGCCUGAAGUUGGUUUGGUAUGGACUUUGCAGGCCAUCGCUUAGUGGUAAUAUCAUCUAUUAGGAUAUUAUUAUGAUUUUGUUGAUUUAAAAAAAACAUAAAAUAGAGAACAACUUUUAUUCAGGUGCUAUUUGGUAUUGGUGAUUUAAAUUGUAACUCAGUCAUGAUUUUGACUUGGACAUACAAUUCGUGUAGAGUUGUAAGGAAUAUAUGUGAAGCUUUUAUUUUA
This is a long non-coding RNA of Lotus japonicus, 3061 nucleotides long. RefSeq lists it as uncharacterized. The transcript has 5 exons. The record is from RefSeq and is a predicted model, not a curated record. NCBI's taxonomy places the organism in Eukaryota, Viridiplantae, Streptophyta, Magnoliopsida, Fabales, Fabaceae.